This is a long non-coding RNA of Salvia miltiorrhiza (redroot sage), 5047 nucleotides long. RefSeq lists it as uncharacterized. The transcript has 2 exons. The record is from RefSeq and is a predicted model, not a curated record. Lineage: Eukaryota; Viridiplantae; Streptophyta; Magnoliopsida; Lamiales; Lamiaceae.
UUUCUUUUCUACCCAGUUUUCUGCAUCAAUUAUAUUGAUGUAAUAUGCAAUGAUUUCAAUUUCAACAAAACACAAACUUGGGGCUGAUGUGUGUGUGCGUGAGUCUUGGGGGUGGUCCGACUGGGGGAACGGAGAAGGAAGGCCGUAGGCGGCAUAAGGAGGAAGGGAAGGAUCCGGCGACGGCGGUGGUGGCCUGAGGCUCCUACUGGCCGAUUGCCAGAAAUAGAGAGAGAAAAAGGAGGCGGCGAUGGCGGCGGUCCGGCUGACUGCUGCUGUCGGCUGGAGCAGAGGGGGCGAGUCCGGCGGUAACCUCGCCGGAAAUCGUAGGAGAAAGAGGGUUUAGGGAUUUAGAGAGAGUGAUUUGUGGAGUUGGGGGUUUGGCGAAUUGAGGGAGGAGGGAGAAAGAUACAGAGAGAUGAGGGCGGCGGUGGUACGCCGGCGACGAGCCGGCGAAUUUGUAGGCGGCGACGGCGGCGUGAGAUGAGAGGAAGGGAGAGAGAAAGUGGCGAGAAGGAGAGAGAGACCGAAUGGGAGAGUGAGAGUGAGGUCUUGUGUCUGUGUGUGUGCGUGAGAAAAAGGAGAAGAAAGGAGAGAUUGAUGAGUUGAGUUGGGCUCCAGCAUUGGGCCUUUAAUUAAGUGGGUUGCAUUUUUAUAACUUGGGCUUCAUGCAUAUAUUUCUAUUGGGCUGCAUGUUUAUUUGUUUGGUUAUAUGUUUUUAUUAAAUAGUUAAAGUCUUACAAAUGUUUGUAAGCAAAAUAUUUUUAAGUUGAUUUAUGCUCAAGAUGAGUUUUUAAAGUAAAAGCCGAGCAAGGGUAUUAUUAAAACCCUUAGCCAAGAAAAAUGAUUUUCAAGUUUUAUGUUGAAUUUAUGAAAACCCGGGUGUUGCGAAUCUAGUUAGAAAAUGAUAACAAGUCAUGAAGGUUAAGUUUGAUUUUAGGACUAUGAGUUUAAGUUGAGAACUUAUCUUGUAGGUCCUACAGAAGAGGAUAUUUAGGCUCUUGUUCAGCUGAGUUAUAUUGUUUGGAUUUUCUUCAGAUCAGGUGAGGCUUUAUUUACGAAAUGUAUGUUUGAGCUAAUAAGCUCGGUUUUAUGUAAAGUUAAAGUUGAUGGUUCAUGCUUAAAAUGUUUUUGCUCUCUAUUGGUUAUUGCUUCUACCAGAACAUUGUUGGCUUCGCCAACCAGAACAUUGUUAGCUCUGCUAACCAGAAUUGUGUACGUACACCAGAACCUGUUGUCUCGAGAGAUCGGUGACAACCAGUUGUAGAUAGCAUGCCCAAUAGAUGGCCAGGAAAAUAUGAGCUCAGAUUAUUUUAGUAUGCAUGGAAUGACUCACUUUAAAAACUUUCUGUGUUAUACUGUUUAAGGCAUGAAUUAUCUUUUUCAGUAAAUGAUUUUUAUAAAAUAUUUUUAAAUGGCUCAACCCACUGAGUACACUAGUACUCAGCCCUGCAAUUGUUUUCAAAACCUUUUGCAGAUUGAGCAGCUGGUGGUGACGUGCGAGGCUGAGGAAGGGUUAUUGCUAUGGAUUUUGAAGAAAUGCUAUGUUUACUUCCGCUGAAACAAAUUCACUUAGUGAAUAUUAUCUGAUGCCCAACUAUGUUAAUACUUUUAUUCAUAUUUUUGAUAUGAAUUUCACUCUCCAUCACUUUCCUAGCGAUUGUUUUCCGCACCUAUUAUAUGCUUAGUAUGAGACGUUGUCUUGGUCUCAGACCUUCGAACUUCCGAUCCUGAUAGGGAGAAUAGUUAUGUUAUAAUGUCGUACUUGUUCUCAUUUAAAUACGGCAUAAUGCCCAACCCUCAGGGCACAUUACCUAUUUUAUUCAAGUAAAGCUUAGUAAUCCUGUCGCCUAGCCCAUUUCUUUUUCUCCCGGGAAAUCGGGGCUGUCACAAAUGGUAUCAGAGCAAAAGUUCUUGGCUCUGAGACCGCUAUUUCAUUGAUGUUGAGUCUAGAAUAGCAUCUCUAGACUUCUAAGCUACACAGCAACCCUCAGCUCGCCUUCACACUGCUCUCAAGAAAGAAAGGUACACGAUUUUAACAAAUUUUACUUAAAGUGCGUACAAGUAUUUAAAGUGGUUUUAAAAGUAAGAGUUCUUGCUAAAAGAAAAGAUUUCAGUUUGUUGUAUUAUUUUACAACUAGAUUCCCAGAAAGGUGUUAUUUCGAGCUUUAGCUUGAAUAACCAGAAAAGUUUGUCAUGUUUUAUGACCAUAAAGAUUUGUCAUAUAUAUUUAUAUGACCAGAAAGUUUGUCAUAUUCAUGACCAGAAAGUUGUCAUAUUUUUAUGACCAGUAUUUGAGCUUUGACUCCAGAAUCAGUUAUAUGUUACAGUCAGAACAGUCAGUGAAACUGUCAUAAUGGUUUUACGUCUUUAUGACCAGCAGCUAUUAGUAGGCAGACCUAGUUUGUCGCCUCAGUUAUCAGUUCAGACAGGUGUAAUUUUCUCGUAGUUAGAGAAAUACACUAGAUAAUAGCAUGAUAAUCUUAUGAGAUAGACUCCUAGCAUGAAGUGCUAUAGAAGAAUCAAGAAAAACUUAGAGUGCUCAACGGAAGCACGUAAACUUAGAAUACUUGAAUAGAAAGAUAGAACGAAGGCAGACAGAACAUAGAAAGACAUCAUACGAAGAGAUAGAACAUAGAAGUUUAGAAUUUAGAAAGAUAGAUCAUGAAAAGACAAAAGAGAAGAACAAGACACGAAUGAACAAGCCGAAGAUAAGUGGAAUGAUGCAUGAAUGGUUUCACGCAUUCUACAAGUAUGGAAGACUCAAGGACUUCACAAAGAACGUUUGACAUGUGCUAUCUUUCAACUAACGGACGAGGCCGAUUAUUGGUGGGAAUCAGUGCAGAGGACUUUAGCGCCACGACAAUGGGAAGGGUAUACGUGGGAAAAUUUCAAAGAAGAAUUGUACGAGAAGUAUAUUCCUCAGAGUUAUCGAAUCAAGAAAUAAUCGGAAUUCUGGAAUAUUCAACAAGAGAAUAAAUCUGUCACUGAGUACGAUAGAUUGUUCGUCCAGAUAUCAUGCUACGCUCCACAUUUGGUGGAUUCGGAGGAGAAAAAAAAGAUCCGAGAAGUUUAGGCGAGGUCUACGACACGAGAUAGGAAUACCCCUGACAAUAAGCGUGCAAACAACAAUAACAAACGGAAAAGAGCAUGGCAAGGAACUGAUCAACAAAUGCAGCAAACCAACAAGAAGGGCGAAAUGACCAGCAACAAGUACCGUUUUUCCAUAACUGCCACAAAAAAAUCACUUCGGAGUUUGCAAAGAUGGGAGCGCCGCUUGCUACAGGUGUGGAGAAAAGGGUCACUUUGCUCGACAAUACCCAGGAACACCACAAGGACGUCAGAAUAAUGGAAGAAAUCGAGGCCAGAGGCCACUUCAAAUAGCAAGAGCAUACGCACUUAAUCAGCAGCAGGAAGCUCAGGCACCAGAAGACGUAGAAGGUACGGCCAUAUAGAAUUGACGCACUUGAAUAAGUUGAAGUACGUAGUCAUAGAAAGUAUUUAUCCUUUGGGAUGAUAGUCAGAAUUAGAAAAGCAAGCAUAUUAUUCUAGUAGAAUCACUACAGACCAGAAUGAGUAUAUGAUAGCUAUAAGCUGAGAAUGACACUUAGAAGUUCGAAAUUUCGAGGACGAAAUUUUUUUUAAGGAGGGAGGGUUGUAAUACCCCGAAUUUUCCUUAAUAUGAUUUUAGAAGAAUGAUUGGAUUUAGAAUUAAGUCGAUUCGCACCCUGAAGAAAAUUUGUUUUAAUUCAGAUAAAUGGUUUGUUAAUUUUGAGGCAAAUUUGUCAAUGGGCCUUUUUUUUAUUAUGAUGGAUCUUUAAAUUUUAUUUUAAUUUGGAAUAAAUUGGGCCUAACUGAUUGUUAGGCUAUGUAAGAGUAUUUUGGACCAAAUUCUUUCAGCCCAUUAUACAAUUAUCAUUUUUUUUCUUUCUUUCUUUGAGCUCACGCUUUCUACAGUGGUGAACAAACCAGAUACCAGAUAUUUCACUCUUACUUUUUCUUUAAUAAAAGAAGAAGAAGCAUCCACGUAGCUUGUUUUCACCUUUUUAACACCCCUUCCUCAUCUAAUUCAGAUCACCCCAAAAUGAAUAACACUCACAAUUCAAUUUCUUCAGCUGCUAGAAUUUCUGCAGUACUCUCCCCAAUUCCAGAUUUUCGAAUCCAAUAUCAUAAACCUCAUCAAGGUCCUACAGAAGAGGAUAUUUAGGCUCUUGUUCAGCUGAGUUAUAUUGUUUGGAUUUUCUUCAGAUCAGGUGAGGCUUUAUUUACGAAAUGUAUGUUUGAGCUAAUAAGCUCGGUUUUAUGUAAAGUUAAAGUUGAUGGUUCAUGCUUAAAAUGUUUUUGCUCUCUAUUGGUUAUUGCUUCUACCAGAACAUUGUUGGCUUCGCCAACCAGAACAUUGUUAGCUCUGCUAACCAGAAUUGUGUACGUACACCAGAACCUGUUGUCUCGAGAGAUCGGUGACAACCAGUUGUAGAUAGCAUGCCCAAUAGAUGGCCAGGAAAAUAUGAGCUCAGAUUAUUUUAGUAUGCAUGGAAUGACUCACUUUAAAAACUUUCUGUGUUAUACUGUUUAAGGCAUGAAUUAUCUUUUUCAGUAAAUGAUUUUUAUAAAAUAUUUUUAAAUGGCUCAACCCACUGAGUACACUAGUACUCAGCCCUGCAAUUGUUUUCAAAACCUUUUGCAGAUUGAGCAGCUGGUGGUGACGUGCGAGGCUGAGGAAGGGUUAUUGCUAUGGAUUUUGAAGAAAUGCUAUGUUUACUUCCGCUGAAACAAAUUCACUUAGUGAAUAUUAUCUGAUGCCCAACUAUGUUAAUACUUUUAUUCAUAUUUUUGAUAUGAAUUUCACUCUCCAUCACUUUCCUAGCGAUUGUUUUCCGCACCUAUUAUAUGCUUAGUAUGAGACGUUGUCUUGGUCUCAGACCUUCGAACUUCCGAUCCUGAUAGGGAGAAUAGUUAUGUUAUAAUGUCGUACUUGUUCUCAUUUAAAUACGGCAUAAUGCCCAACCCUCAGGGCACAUUACCUAUUUUAUUCAAGUAAAGCUUAGUA